Molecule: ribosomal RNA, 380 nt
Filed under: uncultured Methanomicrobiales archaeon
Lineage: Archaea; Methanobacteriati; Methanobacteriota; Methanomicrobia; Methanomicrobiales
Description: bacterial SSU rRNA
Rfam family: Archaeal small subunit ribosomal RNA
Source: RNAcentral
CUGAAGACUCUACUUGACUAGCUGAGAGGAGGUGCAUGGCCGUCGUCAGUUCGUACUGUGAAGCAUCCUGUUAAGUCAGGCAACGAGCGAGACCCACGCCAACAGUUGCCAGCUCGUCCUCCGGGAUGGUGGGGACACUGUUAGGACCGCCUCUGCUAAAGAGGAGGAAGGAAUGGGCAACGGUAGGUCAGCAUGCCCCGAAUUAUCUGGGCUACACGCGGGCUACAAUGGGUGGGACAAUGGGUAUCGACACCGAAAGGUGAAGGCAAUCUCCUAAACCCAUCCGUAGUUCGGAUUGUGGGCUGCAACUCGCCCACAUGAAGCUGGAAUCUGUAGUAAUCGUGUCUCAAAAUGGCACGGUGAAUAUGUCCCUGCUCCUU